Molecule: long non-coding RNA, 210 nt
Filed under: Physcomitrium patens
Lineage: Eukaryota; Viridiplantae; Streptophyta; Bryopsida; Funariales; Funariaceae
Description: long non-coding RNA (PPAT_LNC014081)
Source: RNAcentral
AAUAUCUGUUAUCUUAUUGAAACAAUCCAUUAUCACAAAUUUAUAGUCAUAUCAGCUUGAGAUUAGAAGAUUUGUAAUAAAAUUCAUAAAAACAAAAGACCAUGAUUGUUUUAAUAUAUGUAGUGGUUAAAAAAGUUGAUAGGUCUAUUAAUUAGAAAUUUUUUAUUUUAAACAAACAUCACAUUAUUUUACAAAUUUUACUACUCACCU